This 710-nucleotide unclassified non-coding RNA is filed under the name Stylophora pistillata. RNAcentral describes it as "uncharacterized LOC111322964, transcript variant X1". The record is from RNAcentral. Lineage: Eukaryota; Metazoa; Cnidaria; Anthozoa; Scleractinia; Pocilloporidae.
CUAAACGAUCAGUGCCAUGUGCUAAAGUCCUUCCAAGGCUUACGGUUGUUUAAAGCUCUCAUUUAGUCUACGAAAUUUCUUCAGGCAUUCAUUUCUCUGAGGAGAGGGAUUUCAUUCUUCUUUCUUGGAACAAGUUGGAUUUGCACUAUCAAAUACAAAUAUAAAAAGGCUGUUAUGAAAAGAAACAGGACUAUGUCAUAGUAGCAGAGAAGGGAGCUUCUGGUUUAUCGUAACAACCAAACAUACUCGAAAAGCUUGUAAACCUCCGUUAAGGAAAGAGGGACCUUUCUCGCAUUCUUUCAAAAUUUCAAGUGGAAUGAGUGCUGUGAAACCCCAGGGAAGUGUGGUCCAUGCCUUCCACAGACAUCAAUUGUCUGUUUUCCUUCUCAAAGCCCAAUUCGAGGUUUCUCUUUAUUGGUGUGAGAUACUUUGUACCUUGCCGUGAAUAAAAUGGCUUUUAAUAGGGAUUAAAAUGCUUUUAAGGCGUCUGUUACCUAAUGGAACUGAGGAUCAUCAGGAUUUUGUUAAGGAGACUUUUUUAUACACCCAAGCGUUGCGAGGAAUUGUUGUCGUGAGAUUAAGCUCAGCUAAAAGGCGUUGCUUGCAGUGCCCUAAGAAACCACACAGCUCACUAAAUACACGUUAAACGCUUACCCUGACCGUCAAGCUUGUAAGCUUGCUUCUGUAAAUAAAUCGUUACUAAAAUCCGA